UGGGAAACUUGAACUCUGGGGCUCCACGGAUUCACAUGAACACAACCUAGGUUCUGAGACAUCGAGGAUAAUGGAAGUCUUAUUUAUAUCAACCACAUUAUAAUCCGGGAUCGCUCGCUGGAGAUGAGCCGCGGACUCCGUCCAAACCCUGGCCCGCCGUGAGCAGUUUCACUCACUUGUGUGGGGAUCGUGCACAGGAAGAUGUGGAGGGGGACAGAGGUAUCAGGUCCUGCCGCUGUGAUUUAGAGCGGCUUCAGAAAGAGGCCAGGGACCGAAAGAGCAGGAGACCCCGAGUGGAAGAAUGCCUCCGUCCUUCCUGCUUUUAAACGAUACCGCUGAGGGAACGCCGGGCCGGGACCUGUGAGGGAUAGAUCUGAGAUGUUGAGAGACACACACCAGGGAUUUUUUACUGAGAAAGUCAAAGUGGGGUCAUGUUUUUUAAAGGCUUUGGUCACAUGGGAGCAGAUUCAGGGGCUGCAUCCUUUCAGAUUCAGGCGCUGACAAAUGCGUCCUUCCAUCCCCAAGAAACGAAGGCUCAAACAGAUGGAUCCUUCCAAGGCCAACCUAUCCCAGGAUUCACUGGUUGACCAACCGUUUUUUCAAAGAGGAGCUCCGUCCAUGAUGGAGCGCACAAGGAAUGCAGCGGAUCAUCAGGUCCCCGAGCGCCCCUUUAAAGUGGUGAUGAAUGUGGAGUAGUCCUCCACGAGGUGUAAGGUGAUCAAAGGCGUGGCAAAGGUCUGGACUUGGUUUAUUGGUGAGCGGUGGUCAGCUGACGGGCUCCGGGAUCAAAGAAUUCACUUUACUCAAGGGGCACAUCUGUCUCUUGGGCCAAUCAAUGGCCAGAACUAACUUAGAAUGGGCUGUUCACCCAACUCCUAUGAUAUAUGAUGUUACACAUAAUAUUAUUUUGCCCUUUUUCCCCCUGGAGCCAAAAAUCAGAUGACAGUUGGUUAGAAUUCAACAUUAUGAAACAAUGUGGAUGUUUUUUUGUUCCCUGACAUUAUAGGUGGACAUGUUGGAUUUAGCCAUGAGCUGCAGAAGCAUGAUUAGGUCAAAUUGCAUGGUUAAACCGAAAGGAAAGUUCAGUCCAUGCAUGAGAAGUCGGACGUGUUGAUUCUGGCAAAAUUACAAACUGAGGUAUAGAAUUUAACAGACUUAGAUUAAUUUGAUGAGAAUAUGAUUAUAAGUCAAAACAAACUACCGUAACUGACAGGGUGGAGGAGGGGGAGGAGUUACAGAACAUUGAAAUAGAGCUGGAACCACUUGAGAGCGCAACAACUUUUUUAACACAGACUACAGAACACAGAGAGAAGAAACAAAGACACAACAGGAAUUCUUUUGUCUCUUUUUAUCUUUUCAUGCUGUCUUUUUUAUAUCCCCUUGCUUCCCCUAUGUGUUUUCAACUCUAAACAGACAAACUUGUAUGGUCUAUAUCAACAUUUUUCAAAUUUCAUCUCCUUCUAGAUAGUGAACAGUGUUGCUGCUAAAAUUGUGUGGUAUCCCGUCCUACAUCAACCAGGCUCUGAUUUUCAUUUUCUACCACUUUUACAAUUUUGCUGAAAGCAGCAUUGAUCGAUGUUUAGGCCACUUGCAGCUGUGAUGAUCAGAAGAACAUAUAAAACACCAAGUGCAGACUUCUACCAACAAAAACACAUAUUGUACCUGAGAUUAUUAAAGACAUUUCAACAAUAGCGACAGGAUACAUAGGACUGAGGUUAAAUCCAUACUACUAUUAGUGUGUUUUGGCUUUGUAUCAGUUUUAAUCCCUGUCAAUACUGUAGCGUCACCGUUUACAGACGACACGGAACUUCUUCUCUGUUUAGUAACUUUUAUUAUAGUUCACACGAACAUGUCCAAUUCUAAUUCUAACUGCGUCACAUCACCCCCAACAACUCCCUCCGUCACCCCACUUCCUCAAUGACCCCCAAUCCCCAACAAAACCAGCCAAUGAGAGUCUGAAAUCCCCACAUAACCCCAUCCUAUUGGUCCAAAACAGUCCGAUGUCCCACCCCGAACCCUUCACUGACCCUCAGGAUAUCAGCACGCUCCCUCAACAGGGUGUUUUACUGCACAUACGUCAAAACCAAACAUAAACAUAAACCCAGUCUGUUACAAUACUAAAACACCUGAAUACGCAUAUCACAUGACCACCAACGUACACUGGACAAUGUAAACACUUGUAUCAUUGUAAAACCUUAGCUAACCAAAGCCGACAAGGUCAGCAACACUUGAUUAUCCAUGUUGCGUUCAACACUGGUAGCCAUGUAGAGUUUUCAAACUAAAACAGAGCCAGCAAGGUUGUAGUUCAGUCACCAGGCCAGGUUACUGAGUGCUCUUGCACAAAAGACUAGUCCCAGUGGAUUUCACAGUGAUAACAGCAAGUCAAGGCAAAUGGAAUCGUUAACUCUGCCAUAAAAGCAGACAUAUGGCAGACAGAGCAACGUUGCAGUAGAGGUUAGGCAGUUGUCUGCAUUUGUUUGUUUGUUUGCAGGAUUACGCAAAAACCUACCCGACCGAUUUCAAUGACAUAUUUCUGGAGGGGUGGGGUAUGACCCAAGAAAGCCCCGGUUACAUUUUGAAUCAGAGAAUACAUUUAGGGGACUGGCAUGAAAUUUAUGUGAAUGUUUGUGCAGUUGAUUGAAUUCAGAUGGACCAUUGGGGGAGGUAUGAACUCUACUCACAUUCUAGUUUGGAGAUGUGUUUCUUGCAAUUUUUCUUUUUUCCCCUCUCAGUUCUGUUUUGAUCAAUGAGUUCUGAAGGAAAUAUUUAUCUAGUGGCCAAAUGCGGCACCAUGUUCACCAGCUGCUUGCCAACUUUAGUGCAGGACACUAAGCUGCAAUGAGGUUUAUGAAAGUGUUUUCACUGAAAACAGCUGGAAAUGAGUGUAAUGAGAGCGGUGAGACUAAACAGUAAAGCUGCCAUGAAGCCACUGACACUUAAUUGCUCCCAAGAGCUGAGGGGAAACAUUGAGCUUGGCCAUGACUCUUUGUCACAUUGCUCAUAUAAUCGAUCAGAGCAGACUUUAUACACUUGAAUUCACCAGAGUCGUACACUAAACUAAGAAAUACAUUAACCGACGUGACCCUGCCCUGCAAAUCUCUUUCUUCAUUGUUAACGAGUAAAAAGUCAACGGAGUUCACAGCUGAGGCCUGACACCAUUAUUCUGUCUCUGAAGUCACCGGGCAGGAGGUCAACAGUAGUCAUAAAUGGAGGGUAAAUUUCGCUAAAUGAGCCAUGACAGUAGCCCCCCAAAAACACAUGCUCAGUCCCAAGAAGAAAAGACCCUGUGCAUCCCCUGGAGAAAAAAGUUAAACCUAUUUGCCAGAGUGGGUCAAAGGUCGCCCCCGAUGUGACCCGCACUCUUUGUUUAUUCAGUGGGUCACCACCUGGAUCUGUUUCUAAUUGUGGACGUAGGCCUAAAAUAUGCCUUUGUUACAGUAGGGGGAGGCUGGAGUCAUUUUUUUUAAACAGGUGGGAGGGAAACCAGUUGACAGGCCAGUUCGGUUUGUUUGAUAGCGGAAGGAUUAGUACGUGUGUGGGGGUGUGUGUGUGUAUGUGUGUGUGUGUGUGUGUGUGUGUGUGUGUGUGUGUGUGUGUGUGUGUGUGUGUGACAUUUUAUUACUACUUAAAUCACUUUUGUUUCUCUUUCUGUCUCCCAUUGUUUAAUUUGUCAGCUUCUCUUUCUCCGUCCUGUCUUUCUCUCCCUCUCCUUCCUCAUUGUCCUCGUCUCACUCCCCUGCUGCUCCGAGGUCACUCGUCAUAGUCACUUCUCUCUGGGUAGAAAAAGCAGAGGACGCACAUGAAAGCGUCUCGGUGGGGAGGUGUCCGUCCUUUAGCUUUUCACCAAAUGGCUCGCUGUGCGUCUUCAAAAACACAUCACAUCCCAUUGAGUCCCUCAUUAGACACACACAGCACACACACGCACACACACACACACACACACACACACACAUACACACACACACACACACACACACACACACACACACACUGAAGGGUUAUUAUUUUACUAACUUAACAGCCUGGUCCAUUAACCCACAAUACACGUGAAGUUGUAAAAAAAAAAACCAACACCCUCCACUGGCACUUACAAUGACAGAUCAAUUCACAAAGAUCUCAAGAGCAGGUUUUGAAAGGGUCAACCCUUUGCACACUGUUCCCAUGCAGCACCCAGCAGCAAACAGAGCAGAUUGAACUGAUUUUGAACUCGAACAUGAUCUCUUGAAAAUAUCUGACAAAUUGGGUUUGGGGUACUUCCAGAGUUUGUCUUUCACAUAUGACAAAUGCAGGAUAAUGUCCAUAACAUUCAGGCGAGGGGAGAUGUCUGGGUAGAACAUGUUGGAGUUGGGACAUGAUGCAUGAAUUCCACUUCGGAAAUCACAUGUAUUUGUUUACAUCUCAAUGGCAUUUGUUUCAGCCAUUAUCGCCUUGCAAAAGCUACGGAUGUUGUCGUCUUUCCAAAUUGACAUCUUGGUCGUUGUCUCAUGUGUGAUAAACAUUUCUUUAUUUAUAUAGCACUUCCAAGGCUUCACAAAUUAAAAAAACCUAUGUAAGUGUACAUAUAAAGAAUGAAUAGAAAGUAUGGGAGAGUUUGAUGUAAAGAAAACAUGGCACCUCUUCUUCAUCCUGAUAUAUUUGUACUACUCGUCCAGUUUGUUAGAAAUGUCAUCAACACGCACAGUCCUUGUGCAUUUUCCUUCUGUGUUCUCACAUGGGCUGGAAAUGUAAAAAGGGGUCUGGCAGGACAAGUUCUGGAAGAUGCAACUGAAGGGGACAUUUGCGUUCUCGCGUGCUGUACAGUAAAACGUUCAGACUUCAGUGUAGGUCUGAAAGCAGGCGGUCAACACACAGUAGCUUCGUUGCCUCCGUUUCAUUUCUUCCACUUUGAAGUUGCUGUACACAAGUACAUGGAGGUGUUGUAGCUGCAACUUAAAGUUAAAAGUUGACUGAUCCAACCUGCUGAGCCUAUUAAAUGUGCCGACACUUUGAUGAAGCAAAUAAUUAGAGUAGAACGCCGGGUAGGAAAAGAUGAGGUGUCGCACAAAAGAAAAACGUUUAAACCCACCACACAUCUGGGUCUGAUUUCCAGCUGUGGUGCCUCUGGCUUGGAAACCACUGGCAAUGUGAGCGAGUGGGAAGCCUGCGAGGGAUCAUGUCCUCGUCACUGCAAGCUACUAACGCUGGUAGGUGGAAAGAAGCUACGCAAGCCUUUGAGGAUUUUCCCGAUUGUUUAUGGCUCUGGAUACAUUUUGAUUGUCUUUUUUCGUUCUAAUAAAAACUGAAUUUCAUGUGUUACUCUUCAAAUACUUGUAGAAAGGAGGAUUCACAUCUGGUUAUAAAUAGAUCCGCCCGCUGUCUUGCUGCAGAGGAGGACUAUAAUGUUUGAUUUAUUUGUGAAUACUGAAGAGAGCCUGACUGCGAAUGGUGUCCAUAUGGAUAUGAUGGUUAACUGAUGUUGCAGGGCAGGGAAGAGGGUCAACCGUCUUUUACUCAUUCACCACAAUUACAUACUGAAAACAGUGGCCCUCAAACUUUUCAUGAGGACAUGACUUGAAGGCCAUUGAGGACUUCUUGAUUUGGUUUAAUUCAGAGGUGUAAAGUAACGAAUUACAUUUACUCACGUUACUGUAAUUGAGUAGUUUUUUGUGUACUUUGUAAUUUUUUGAGUAGCUUUUGAAAUGGGUAAUUUUACUUUUACUUAAGUAGAUUUUGACUGAAGUAUUGUACUUCGCUUCAUUGGAAAUUACAUCCGUUACUGAGUAGAAAAAAAAACAGUUCAAGGCGCAAGGCAAUUCUCACUGCAGUGGUAGAUGCUGCAUAGAGUGGAUGACGUUCCCUCACGUGCACGUUCAACAUAUGAAAACUGAUCGUAAAGUUCACUGUUCGCGAAAAAUAUACGCAACAUGCAGAA
Pleuronectes platessa (European plaice) is the source of this 5911-nucleotide long non-coding RNA. RefSeq lists it as uncharacterized. The transcript has 5 exons. The record is from RefSeq and is a predicted model, not a curated record. Lineage: Eukaryota; Metazoa; Chordata; Actinopteri; Pleuronectiformes; Pleuronectidae.